This 253-nucleotide ribosomal RNA is filed under the name uncultured microorganism. RNAcentral describes it as "partial 16S ribosomal RNA". It matches the Rfam family "Bacterial small subunit ribosomal RNA", at positions 524 to 776 of the family's 1533-position model. The record is from RNAcentral.
UACGGAGGGGGCAAGCGUUGUUCGGAGUUACUGGGCGUAAAGCGCGCGUAGGCGGUGCGGUAAGUCAGGGGUUAAAGGCUGCAGCUCAACUGCAGUAAGGCCUUUGAUACUAUCGCGCUAGAGUACCAGAGAGGAUGGCGGAAUUCCCGGUGUAGCGGUGAAAUGCGUAGAUAUCGGGAGGAAGGCCGGUGGCGAAGGCGGCCACCUGGACAGGUAUCGACGCUGAGGCGCGAAAGUGUGGGGAGCAAACAGG